AUACGCUGGCGGCUGUCUAAGGCAUGCAGUCGAACGAUGACUUUCAAGCUUUUAGUUUUAGAGUCAAAUGGCAAACGGGAGAGUAACACACUGGUAACCUACCUCUAAGCCGAGCAUAGCUCACCGAAAGGUGAAUUAAUACUCGAUAGUCAUGGGGGGUCAUAUGACAUUCCCAUGUAAAACUCCGGUGCUUAGAGAGGGGCCUAUGUCUGAUUAGCUUGUUGGUGGGGUAAAGGCCUACCAAGGCGAUGAUCAGUACCGGGCGUGAGAGCGUGACCCGGCUCACUGGGACUGAGACACUGGCCAGACUCCUACGGGAGGCUGCAGUCAAGAAUCUUCCACAAUGGGCGAAAGCCUGAUGGAGCGAUGCCGCGUGCAGGAAGAAUUCCUUCGGGAUGUAAACUGCUUUUAUAAGGGACGAAUUCGUGACGGUACCUUAUGAAUAAGAGGUUGCUAACUCUGUGCCAGCAGCAGCGGUAAUACAGAGACCUCAAGCGUUAUCCGGAAUUACUGGGCGUAAAGCGUCCGCAGGUGGUAUUAUAAGUCAAUGGUCAAAUCCUGGGGCUCAACUUCAGGACUGCCGUUGAUACU
RNAcentral lists this ribosomal RNA (591 nucleotides) under uncultured bacterium. RNAcentral's name for it is "bacterial SSU rRNA". It matches the Rfam family "Bacterial small subunit ribosomal RNA", at positions 31 to 634 of the family's 1533-position model. The record is from RNAcentral.